This 253-nucleotide ribosomal RNA is filed under the name uncultured bacterium. RNAcentral describes it as "partial 16S ribosomal RNA". It matches the Rfam family "Bacterial small subunit ribosomal RNA", at positions 524 to 776 of the family's 1533-position model. The record is from RNAcentral.
UACGUAGGGUGCAAGCGUUGUUCGGAAUUAUUGGGCGUAAAGCGCGUGUAGGCGGCUUGGCAAGUCGGGUGUGAAAGCCCUCAGCUCAACUGAGGAAGUGCGCCCGAAACUGCUUUGCUUGAGUGUCGGAGAGGAUGGUGGAAUUCCCCAAGUAGAGGUGAAAUUCGUAGAUAUGGGGAGGAACACCGGUGGCGAAGGCGACCAUCUGGACGAUAACUGACGCUGAGACGCGAAAGCGUGGGGAGCAAACAGG